This 7695-nucleotide unclassified non-coding RNA is filed under the name Haliotis rufescens (red abalone). RNAcentral's name for it is "lethal(3)malignant brain tumor-like protein 3, transcript variant X2". The record is from RNAcentral. Lineage: Eukaryota; Metazoa; Mollusca; Gastropoda; Lepetellida; Haliotidae.
CACAUGUGGGAAAUUGCUCUGUGAAUGCCUUUAUGAAGAAUGAACUCCCAGCCACCAAGUGGUCAGCCAGGGCCGGCCCCUGUGGCGCCAACUGCAACAUCCACACCAGCACCAGCAACCACAGCAACAUCAGUUCCAACCACACCAACAUUAAUCACACCAAUGCCAACUUUACCAACAACAAUGGCUACCAUACCAACACCAAUGCCCACUUUAACGAAAGAAACCAGUCAACCUCCUGCCAAGAAGAUGAAGCUUGGCACACCACCAUCAGUUGUUCAUGAAUCUGCAGCUAGCAUUUCUUGCCCGGCAUCUAAGGUCUUGACCAAUCAGACGUCAUCAGUAUUGACCAAUCAGACACCACCAAUUGCGACCAAUCAGAUGUCAUCAUUUCCUCCAGGUACCAUCAGCCUGACUAUCACCAAUGGUGUUAUCAACCUGAACGCACCACCAGGUGGUGUUGCGGGAAAGGCGUCCAGUGUCCCCCCAGGUCUGCGGGGUGCCCAGUCCACAGUCCUAGCAGGGGUAGCAGGAAGUCUGGUGAAGGGUCCGAGAUCUCGCAUGCCCUUAAAGGGCCACUCUCAGCAAGCAGGAGGGAUGUUAGCUACCAGUAUGCCCUUAAAGGGACACCCACAGCAAGCAGGAGGGAUGUUAGCUACAAGUAUGCCCUUAAAGGGACACCCACAGCAAGCAGGAGGGAUGUUAGCUACAAGUAUGCCCUUAAAGGGACACCCCCAACAAGCAUCCAGCUCACCCAACACCAUGGUAACAAGUCACACACAGCUCAAGAUUCCCAACCCUUCUACAUUCCCCAUGCGAGGCCCCACUCCCAUUCUUUCCCCCAGCCAGGCCCUGCCCCCGGGGGCCACCUUGACCGUGACUCUUCCUGCUCGCACAUCUGUGCCCCUACAGACAGUGGCUACAAUAGGGCAGCCCAUCAUGACCGCAGGAAUGACCGUCAAGGCACUCGCUCAGGAUGGCACCAGUCACUCGGCCCCUGGUCAUUCCAUUCCGUUACAGCACAUGUCAGCUCUUCCUCGACAACCCGGUGCAGCUCGUCCUCAACAUCAGGUUACGUUACAUCCACUGACACUGUUACCACGACAACCUCUGCACCCACAAAGACAGCAGCUAUUGCAACGCCCGACCCGAUUUGCCCAACAGCCGAUAAACCUGCAGAACGCUCGACUGCCAGCCACCCAUCCCAGCUUGCGUCCAGUGUCUGCACCACAGCUUACCUUCCAGAUUGCACCUGGAUCAUCUCAGGCAGCACAAAGUCUCGGUCCAGGUCAACAGCUACUGCAACAAAGGCCACAGUUACUUGCUCAGGCUCGUCCACAGCUGGUGAUUCAGACAGCUCGGCCUCUGGUGCCAAGCACCCAGGUGACCAGCCCCAUGCUGCACUCUCCUCUCCUUCUGAAGGAUCCCAUGCAGCAAGCAAUGGUUCACACACCCAUCAUCCUGAAGGACCCACCUCCAUACCCAGGGGUGAAGGCGGACGGCAUCACACAGAUGGUGCUGCAGGCCCAGCAGGGCAUGUCAGGCGGGGUCAUCAUGACCUCGGAUCCCAACAUCCGACCCCAAAAUGUCAUCGUGCCACCCCCUGUUCCGUCUUCCUUAGAAGCAGAAAGUGCUGGAAAGCCUGCACCAACAGCAGUUAUUGCACCAACUACGGAUGUAGUUCAUGGGGAUGCAAGAACAGCCAUGGAUGCCAGCGAGACAAAGAAUGACGGAAGAGAUGCUACUGGAGCACAGAGAGGUCCCGAGGCACAUGGAGCAACUGAGGCACGCAAGGGUCCCGAGACAGCUGGGGAAGAGAACAAGACAAAGGAAGCAGGCAGCCAGCCAAAGAAUCAGGUCAACGAACAGAAUCAGUCCAAUGUUAAGAAUCAGUCCGGUGAACUGAAUCAGUCUGGUGUCCAGAGUCAGUCCAAUGACCAGGGUCGGGCUGAAGCAGCUAAGGGGAACUCUGGGAGGCAGAAUCGAGAUGAUGCAGCAACAGAGGAACCUGCUGACCCGAUGGAUGCCAUGGUGUGGGAGGAUGGAGUGGCUACACUGCCUGGCAGCGACUUCAAGUUUAAGAUAAACGAGUUUGGUGCUAUGGAGUUAAUCACAGACGAUGGUGCUGACAUCGAGAGUGCAAGAAACUCAGCAGCCAUUACCAACAACAACCAUUUGUCCGCAGCCCCUGUAGAUGGGCAGCAGCAGCAGCAGCAGCAGCAGAGUGAUCCUCGACCUGACACCACCAAGCCCUGUGACACCACCAUGGCCUGUGUGGACACUACAGCCACAGUAGUGAAGGUGGAACCAGGGACGGAAACAGGAAGUGAAGUGGUUGCUGUGAAGGAGCGUGUGGGUCCAGGACGACCAAGGUUGUUGAUGGGGAUGAAGAAAAAGAAACGCAAAUUAAUGAUGGGAGAUGAUGGUCGGCCAAAACUAAAAAUCAGCAUUCCUGGAAAUGAAGAAGAUGGUUUGAGUAAACUUCCCACCGCGCCAGGUCGCAAGUCACGGACAUUUUCCUGGACCCAGUAUCUCGAGGAGGAGAACGCAGUGGAGGCACCUUCCAAAUUUUUCAAAAAUCCAUUCCCAGCCAGCCAGAAGCCUGGGUUCAAGGUUGGGAUGAAGCUGGAAGGCAUCGACCCCCGCCACCAGUCUCUCUACUGCGUGUUGUCAGUAGCAGAGCUGCAGGGACAUCGCAUACGGCUACACUUUGAUGGCUACUCGGAGUGCUACGACUUCUGGGCCAUGGCUGACUGCGCCUUCCUCUUCCACGCAGGCUGGUGUGAGAAGAACGGCAAAACUCUCCAGCCCCCCAAAAAUUAUGCACCAGAAGGGUUUUCCUGGAACACCUAUCUGAAGAUGUCGAGGGCACCAGCGGCACCCAAGUCCCUCUUCAUCAACCUGCCUACAACAAUGGUGACCCCUACAGCAUUCCGAGUGGGCAUGAAACUGGAGGCAGUGGACAAGAAAAACGUCAACCUAAUCUGUGUUGCCACGGUGACGGACACGUUAGGGGAGAAAGUGCUGAUCCACUUCGACGGCUGGGAGGAUAGCUAUGAUUACUGGUGUGACAUCACAUCCCCCUUCAUACACCCUGUCGGCUGGUGUCAAGAGAACGCUCGGGCUCUCUCUCCUCCAUUUGACACGAAGGAUAUAGAGAAGUUCACCUGGGAGGACUACCUGCAACAGACCAAGUCUUCUGCCGUCCCGGCAAGAGCUUUCAAACCACGCCCCCAGGUGGGGUUUGACCCCGGCAUGAAGGUCGAAGUAGUGGACCGUCGCAAUCCAAGACUGAUGCGUGUGGCUACUAUAGCUGAGGCAGAAAACUACCAGGUGAGGAUCCAUUUCGAUGGCUGGUCCGACGUCUACGACUACUACCUGGAAGAUGAUAGCUUGGAGAUCCGCCCGGUCGGUUGGUGCCGCAAGACAGGACAUGUCCUCGAACACCCUCUCAGUCCAUCGGAGCUAGCGUCCUCCCCCAGUCAAGGUGGGUGUCCCACCCCCGGGUGCAGGGGUGUCGGCCACAUAAAGGGGGCCAAGUAUGUCGGCCAUCACAGUGCAUUCGGCUGCCCGUAUUCUACGAUGAACAUGAACAAGGAGACAACACUGCAAGACCGCCUCGGCUCCACCCGGUCCGAGGAUUCUCUCCCCACCCCGUUGUCAGCUCGCAGCAAGCUGGACUACCCCUCAUCACCGGAGGCCAAGAGAUGUCCCACCCCAGGCUGUGAUGGGUCGGGUCACAUCACGGGCAAGUUUACCGCUCAUCAUAAGUUGUCUGGCUGUCCUCUGGCAGAGAAAAACCUUCUCAAGUUCAAACAGAAAGAAGACAGUCCUCCAAAGCCAUAUUUUGGUGCCAAACGAGGCCGAAAAAGACACAAGUUCCUGAGGUUUGGUGAGCGUGUAGAACGACCGUUCCGUGUCAAGGAAGAGAUCAGGGAAGACACUGAGGCUGUUCACCAGGAGAUCCACCAGUCGGUCUUCAUGUCGGCCAUGGCUCCCAACCCUGCCCGUGACCUCCCUCUGUGCUGGGAGCAGCACUCUAAGCUGUUGCCUGGUGUGGACAAGAUCAGGGCGGGCACCGUGUCCAAGUGGACCAUCACGGAGGUGGCUGACUUUGUGCAGACUCUACCAGGAUGUGAGGAACAGGGCAAGGUCUUUCAGGAGGAGCAAAUUGAUGGAGAAGCAUUCCUUCUCUUGAAUCAAACUGAUAUUGUGAAGAUCAUGAACAUAAAGCUUGGUCCUGCUCUCAAGAUCUUCAACAGCAUACUCAUGUUCAAAAGUGCCAAUGAAGCGUGAUGCAGACGGGCAUAGGACAAGCAUCAUGCUGGGUUACCCAACACAUAGUGUAGCAUAAUAAGCAGGAUGGAUGUUGUCGUAGUCCCGUAGAGGUCAAGGUCAGCUGCUGGCUGUAGAUGUAGUUCACUGUGUAAAACACAGAAUAGGGCGUGUGACACACAUAAUGUGCGACAUACGUAAUGUGCGACAUACAUAAUGUGAGACAUACGUAAUGUGCGACGCACGUAAUGUGCGACACACGUAAUGUGAGACAUACGUAAUGUGCGACACACGUAAUGUGAGACAUACGUAAUGUGCGACACACAUAAUGUGAGACAUACGUAAUGUGAGACAUACGUAAUGUGAGACACACGUAAUGUGCGACACACGUAAUGUGAGACAUACGUAAUGUGCGACACACGUAAUGUGCGACACACGAAAUGUGAGACAUACGUAAUGUGCGACGCACGAGUGAGCACCAUGUUGUAAUGUGUGAAGAGUGUUGUAAUGUACAAGACAUGGUCGGGUGAAUACAGGAAAUGCCUUUGUGUUUGAGAUACGUGGAAUUGAGUUUUAUCAGUGACACGUGCCAUGGUCUGGCAUCAGCCACAGAAGACUCGGGAUGGCAUAAGUGUAAUGUGACAGUCGGCAGCUGUGAAGAUCUGUAUGUGUGUUAACUGACAUCUCUCUGUAUGACGGAGUGUGAGUGACUGAAACUGCUUUGUGUCAGUGAUAAUCUGAGGUCAUGAUGGGGUCUUUGCAACAUUGUGUAAACUGGCAGCAUGACUUCAAGUGAUAACUCCAUGCAUAAUGAGUGAAGGUGAUGACUUGGUGCUGUCUGAGACAUAAUACAGGAACCAUACUCACGCUGUGUUGGAGAGUACAAGUGAUAGAACCAGUUCUUGUGUGAUGUCUACUGGUGAUACAGGUGAUAGUUUAUGCAUUCUUGUUCUCAUAGAGUCUGGAGAUACUGUUACAGCUUGUUGUUUGGUUGCACUGCAUGUGUAAGUAAAAUGUGAAUGCAUGUUGAUGGAGGUUACAGCAAAAUGUGCACCUUAUUUCCUUAUUUCUUUGCACUUCUCACUGACCUCUGGUCGUAGUGCAGACCUUAACUAGGACGAGUAUAAAAUGCUCAGAAAAUGUAAUUCUAGCCUUUGUGGAUGACAUUGCAACAGUUGGCUGACCCCUAGAGGUGACCUUGCUACAGUGGGCUGACCCUUGAGGUGACAUUGCUACAGUUGGCUGACCCCUAGAGGUGGGUUGACCCCUGGAGGUGACAUUACUACAGUUGGCUGACCCCUGGAGGUGACCUUGCUACAGUGGGCUGACCCUUGAGGUGACAUUGCUACAGUGGGCUGACCCCUAGUGGUGACACUAGCAGUGAUCGUACUACCUAGCUAAUCUCUAGAAUGGUACAGAAUGUACACUUCACAAGGUAACCAGUGUACCUUUGACUGAUCUGUAGUGGUCAUAGGCUUACCACCAGAGGGGUGACCUUCUUGUCUGAGAUACACCUCUAGAGGUGCCCUUGGUGCCUGAGUGCUAGUAGGGGUGACUUUGGUACCUGAGCUUGCUUGAUAAGAUGACCUUGGUACCUGAGUGCUUGUCGAGGUGACCUCAGUACCUGAGAGCUUGUAGAAGUGACCUCGGUACCUGAGUGCUUGUAGAGGUGCCCUCGGUACCUGAGUGCUUGUAGAGGUGCCCUCGGUACCUGAGUGCUUGUAGAGGUGAUAUCGGUACCUAAGAGCUUGUAGGGGUGACCUCGGUACUUGAGUGCUCGUAGAGGUGACCUAGGUACCUGAGUGCUUGUAGAGGUGACCUCGGUACCUGAGUGCUUGUAGAGGUGCCCUCGGUACCUGAGUGCUUGUAGAGGUGAUCUCGGUACCUAAGAGCUUGUAGAGGUGACCUCGGUACCUGAGUGCUUGUAGAGGUGACCUUGGUACCUGAGUGCUUGUCAAGGUGACCUUGGUACCUGAGCUUGUAGAGGUGACCUUGGUACCUGAGUGCUUGUAGAGGUGACCUUGGUACCUGAGUGCUUGUAGAGGUGACCUCGGUACCUUAGCGCAUUUAGAGGUGACUUUGGUACCUCAGCUUGCUUGUCGAGGUGACCUUGGUACCUGAUUGCCUGUAGAGGUGACCUCGGUACCUCAGCUUGCAUGUAGAGAUGACCUCGGUACCUGAGCUUGUAGAGAUGACCUUGGUACCUGAUUGCCUGUAGAGGUGACCUCGGUACCUGAGCUUGCAUGUAGAGAUGACCUUGGUACCUGAGUGCUUGUAGAGGUGACCUUGGUACCUGAGCUUGCUUGUCGAGGUGACCUUGGUACCUGAGUGCUUGUCGAGGUGACCUUGGUACCUGAGCGCUUGUAGAGAUGACCUUGGUACCUGAUUGCCUGUAGAGGUGACCUCGGUACCUGAGCUUGCAUGUAGAGAUGACCUUGGUACCCGAGCUUGUAGAGGUGACCUUGGUACCUGAGUGCUUGUAGAGGUGAUCUUGGUACCUGAGUGCUUGUAGAGGUGACAUAGGUACCUGAGCUUAGUUGCAGAGGUGACUUUGGUACAUGGUAUAACCCCUAGAAGCAACCUUUGAACAAGAGGCUUUAUAUGUUGAGUAAUUCCUAGUGCCUUCAUAAGAGGCAAUCUGUGACCUGGCAGGAUCAUUAUGGUGGACAGCUCCGGUGGCUGUGUAGAGGGUGGUCUGUUGAUUGUUUCUAUAGCCCAGUGGGACUUUGUACUACUAUUGUUUCUAUUAUUAUUGUUAUUGCCUUACUGGUAUCUGCUGACAGCUAACAGUGCUCAAAUCUGGGGAUAUGUUAUUGAGGGUACACUAGAUGCUAGUGAUAUGGGAGAGACUAGAUGCCAGUGAGAUUGGUAAAUGCUAGCAUUAUGGGUGGGGAACACACACUAGUGAUAUGCAAGGAGUACACACACUAGUGAUUAGGGUGGGAUACGCAUGUGUAAUGAUGGUAGGAUUCAAAAGAUGUUUAAUGAUAUUAGUGCAGUACACAGGCGUGAUAUGUUUAAGGGGGACACACAUUUGUGAUAUCGGUGGGGUACAAACGUGUAGUGUCUGUGGGAUCCAAAAGAUGCUAUUGAUAUUAGUGGGGUACACAAACUCCUGAUAUUGUUUGAGGGAUACAUACACUAGUGAUAUGGGAGGGGUAAACUAGAUGCUAGUGAUAUGGGUGGGUUUCACAAGAUGCCGUUUAUGUGGGAGGGGUACACACUUGUGAUGUGGGUGGGUACAUCGAUGGGAGUUGAUGCAUUGGGUGUUGCACACCAGAAGGACAUGGGUAUCUAUGGAGAGGGAUGGGUCUUGUGGGUGAUGCUUUGUUAGGUCUUACUGAAGAUGUUUCUUGAGGGUGAAAAAACUUGUAUUCAACACAUUCAUCUUUGUCUCAAAUAAAAGAUUUUUAUUCACCA